GGUCAACAAAUAACACUCAAACAUAAAAGAGAAUAAUGAAGAACAAUGCAAAAUGGAGGAGAAUAGGGGAUACGGAGGAAACUUACCUGACAAGUAUUUCCCCAUAAACUUCUCUUUACCUCGAGAAACUUGAAAAUUCUACCCUUACGCUUAUAGAAGGUAGCGAAAGGUGUAGAGAUCAAAUGUAAAAGCGAGAAUUACAAAAUUAACUCUUAAGGCUUAAUAUGGUUGAAAGGAAAUCAAAUUCUGCCCAUACGAAACUAAAGAAAUGAGGAAUAGACAACGCAACAUCAAGAUAAAAACAAAGAAAGAAAUUAUUGGAUUCAAUAUUAAUUUUCUAGAACACACAUAUAGUAAACAUAUAACACGAAAACAUAAAAGAUAAAUAAGAAGAACAACGCAAAAUUUGAGAGAAUAGGGAAUAUGGAGAAAACUUAUCGAAGAACUAAUUCCCAAUAAACUUCUCUUGACAAGGGGAAACCUAAAAAUUCUACCCUUACGCUUAAAGCAAUGUAGAGAAAGGAGUAGAGAUCAAAUUUUAAAACCACAAUGUACUUGAAAGUAAAUAAAAUUUUUUUGAUAAGAAACUAAAGAAAUGAAAAAUAGAAAACACAACAUAGAGCUCUAAAAAAAACAAUGAAAUCAAAGGAUUGAAAAUUCAUUAUCUACUAGAUACACGCAGUGAACAAAUAACACUCAAAUAUAAAAGAGAAGAAUAAAGAACAAUGCGAAAUGGAGGAGAAUAGGGGAUACGGAGAAAACUUACCUGACAAGUAUUUUCAAACAAACUUCUCCUUUCCUCGGGAAACCUGAAAAUUCUACUUUCACGCUUACCUAACAAGUAUGUGUACUAGAAAAUUAAUUUUGAAUUCGUUAAUUUCUUUAUUUGUUUUUUAUCUUGAUCUUGCGUUGUCUAUUCCUCAUUUCUUUAGUUUUGUACCUGCAUAAUUUGAUUUUCUUUCAAUGAUAUUGUUCCUUAAGAGUUAAUUUUGUUAUUCUCAUUUUUACGUUUGAUUAAGCGUAAGGGUAAAAUUUUCAAGUUUCCCGAGGAAAAGUGAGGUUUGUUUGAAAAUACUUGUCAGGUAAGUUUUCUCCGUAUCCCCUAUUCUCCUCCAUUUCGCAUUGUUCUUCAUUCUUCUCUUUUAUAUUUGAGUGUUAUUUGUUCACUGCGUGUAUCUAGUAGAUAAUGAAUUUUCAAUCCUUUGAUGUCAUUGUCUUUUUUAGAACUCUAUGUUGUGUUUUCUAUUUUUCAUUUCUUUAGUUUCUUAUCAAAAAAAUUUUAUUUACUUUCAAGUACAUUGUGGUUUUAAAAUUUGAUCUCUACUCCUUUCUCUACCUUGCUUUUAGCGUAAGGGUAGAAUUUUUAGGUUUCCUCUAGUUCAGAGAAGGUUAUUAGGAAUUAGUUCUUCCAUAAGUUUUCUCCAUGUUCCCUAUUCUAUCAAAUUUUGCAUUGUUAUUCUUAUUUAUUUUUUAUGUUUUCGUGUUAUAUGUUUACUAUAUGUGUGUUCUAGAAAAUUAAUAUUGAAUCAAAUAAUUUCUUUCUUUGUUUUUAUCUUGAUGUUGCGUUGUCUAUUCCUCAUUUCUUUAGUUUCGUAUGGGCAGAAUUUGAUUUCCUUUACAACAUAUUAAGCCUUAAGAGUUAAUUUUCUAAUUCUCGUUUUUACAUUUGAUCUCUACACUUUUCGCUACCUUCUAUAAGCGUAAGGGUAGAAUUUUCAAGUUUCUCGAGGUAAAGAGAAGUUUAUGGGGAAAUACUUGUCAGGUAAGUUUCCUCCGUAUCCCCUAUUCUCCUCCAUUUUGCAUUGUUCUUUAUUAUUCCCUUUUAUGUUUGAGUGUUAUUUGUUGACCGCUUGUGUGUAGUAAAGAAUUAAUUUUCAAUCCUUUGAUUCCUUUGUUUGUUUUUAAAAGCUUGAUGUUGUGUUUUUUAUUCCUUAUUUCUUUAGUUUCGUAUCAGAAUAAUUUGAUUUAUUUUCAAGGACAUUGUGGUUUUAACAUUUGAUAUCUACUCCUUUCUCUAUCUUGCUUUAAGAAGAAUGGUAGAAUUUUCAGGUUUUCCGUGGUAAAGAGAAGUUUAUUGGGAAUUANNNNNNNNNNNNNNNNNNNNNNNNNNNNNNNNNNNNNNNNNNNNNNNNNNNNNNNNNNNNNNNNNNNNNNNNNNNNNNNNNNNNNNNNNNNNNNNNNNNNAACAGUGCAAAAUUUGAGAGAAUAGGGAAUACGGAGGAAACUUAUUCAAGAACUAAUUCCCAAUAAACUUCUCUUUACCACGAGAAACCUGAAAAUUCUACCCUUAUGCUUAAUGCAAGGUAGAGAAAGGAGUAGAGAUAAAAUGUUAAAACCACAAUAUCCUUAAGAGUAAAUAAAAUUAUUCGGAUACGAAACUAAAGAUAUGAGCAAUAGAAAACACAACAUUAAACUUUUAAAAACAAACAAAGGAAUCAAAGGAUUGAAAAUUAAUUCUAUACUACACACAAGCGGUCAACAAAUAACACUCAAACAUAAAAGAGAAUAAUGAAGAAGAAUGCAAAAUGGAGGAGAAUAUGGGAUACGGAGGAAACUUACUUGACAAGUAUUUCCUCAUAAACUUCUCUUUACCUCGAGAAACUUGAAAAUUCUACCCUUACGCUUAUAGAAGGUAGCGAAAGGUAUAGAGAUCAAAUGUAAAAACGAGAAUUACAAAAUUAACUCUUAAGGCUUAAUAUGGUUGAAAAGGAAAUCAAAUUUUGCCGAUACGAAACUAAAGAAAUGAGGAAUAGACAACGCAACAUCAAGAUAAAAACAAAGAAAGAAAUUAUUGGAUUGAAUAUUAAUUUUCUAGAACACACAUAUAGUAAACAUAUAACACGAAAACAUAAAAGAUAAAUAAGAAGAACAACGCAAAAUUUGAGAGGAUAGGGAAUAUGGAGAAAACUUAUCGAAGAACUAAUUCCCAAUAAACUUCUCUUGACAAGGGGAAACCUAAAAAUUCUACCAUUACGCUUAAAGUAAGGUAGAGAAAGGAGUACAGAUCAAAUUUUAAAACCACAAUGUACUUGAAAGUAAAUAAAAUUUUUUUGAUAAGAAACUAAAGAAAUGAAAAAUAGAAAACACAACAUAGAGCUCUAAAAAAACAAUGAAACCAAAGGAUUGAAAAUUCAUUAUCUACUAGAUACACGCAGUGAACAAAUAACACUCAAAUAUAAAAGAGAAGAAUAAAGAACAAUGCGAAAUGGAGGAGAAUAGGGGAUACGGAGAAAACUUACCUGACAAGUAUUUUCAAACAAACUUCUCUUUUCCUCGGGAAACCUGAAAAUUUUACUUUCACGCUUACCUGACAAGUAUGUGUGUACUAGAAAAUUAAUUUUGAAUUCGUUAAUUUCUUUAUUUGUUUUUUAUCUUGAUCUUGCGCUUGUCUCUUCCUCAUUUCUUUAGUUUUGUACCUGCAUAAUUUGAUUUCCUUUUAACGAUAUUGUGCCUUAAGAGUUAAUUUUCUUGUUCUCAUUUUUACAUUUGAUCUCUACUCCUUUUGCUCCAUUCAAUAAGCGUAAGGGUAGAAUUUUCAGGUUUCCCGAGGAAAAGAGAAGUUUGUUUGAAAAUACUUGUCAGGUAAGUUUUCUCUAUAUCCCCUAUUCUCCUCCAUUUCGCAUUGUUCUUCAUUCUUCUCUUUUAUAUUUGAGUGUUAUUUGUUCACUGCGUAUAUCUAGUAGAUAAUGAAUUUUCAAUCCUUUUAUUUCAUUGCUUUUUUUAGAGCUCUAUGUUUUGUUUUCUAUUUCUCAUUUCUUUAGUUUCUUAUCAAAAAAAUUUUAUUUACUUUCAAGUACAUUGUGGUUUUAAAAUUUGAUCUCUACUCCUUUCUCUACCUUGCUUUGAGCGUAAGGGUAGAAUUUUUAGAUUUCCCCUUGUCAAGAGAAGUUUAUUGGGAAUUAGUUCUUCGAUAAGUUUUCUCCAUAUUCUCUAUUCUCUCAAAUUUUGCGUUGUUCUUCUUAUUUAUCUGUUAUGUUUUCGUGUUAUAUGUUUACUAUAUGUGUGUUCUAGAAAAUUAAUAUUCAAUCCAAUAAUUUCUUUCUUUGUUUUUUAUCUUGAUGUUGCCUUGUCUAUUCCUCAUUUCUUUUGUUUCGUAUCGGCAGAAUUUGAUUUCCUUUCAACCAUAUUAAGCCUUAAGAGUUAAUUUUCUAAUUUUCGUUUUUACAUUUGAUCUCUACACCUUUCGCUACCUUCUAUAAGCGUAAGGGUAGAAUUUUCAAGUUUCUCGAGGUAAAGAGAAGUUUAUGAGGAAAUACUUGUCCAGUAAGUUUCCUCCGUAUCCCCUAUUCUCCUCCAUUUUGCAUUGUUCUUCAUUAUUCUCUUUUAUGUUUGAGUGUUAUUUGUUGACCGUUUGUGUGUAAUAGAGAAUUAAUUUUCAAUCCUUUGAUUCCUUUGUUUGUUUUUAAAAGUUUGAUGUUGUUUUUUCUAUUGCUCAUAUCUUUAGUUUCGUAUCCGAAUAAUUUUAUUUACUCUCAAGGACAUUGUGGUUUUAACAUUUGAUCUCUACUCCUUUCUCUACCUUGCAUUAAGCAUAAGGGUAGAAUUUUCAGGUUUCUCGUGGUAAAGAGAAGUUUAUUGGGAAUUAGUUCUUGAAUAAGUUUCCUCCGUAUUUCCUAUUCUCUCAAAUUUUGCACUGUCUACUGUAUGAGUGUACGAAAAAAUUACUUUUGAACCCGUUAAAAAAACAAAAAAUGGUAAACGAACUAAUUCCCAAUAAACUUCUCUUUACCUACAAAAACUUAAAAACUCAAACCCUCUUCUUAACGCUCGGUAUAGAUAGGAGUAUAGAUCAAAUGUAAAAACAAAAAUUUCCUUGAAAGUAAAAAUUAUUAUUCGGAUACUAAUCNAAAGAUAUGAGCAAUAGAAAAAACUACAUCAACUUUUAAUAAACAACAAAGGAAUCAAAGGAUUGAAAAUUAAUUCUCAAUUACACACAAACGGUCAACAAAUAACACUCAAACAUAAAAGAGAAUAAUUAAUAACAAUGCAAAAUGGAGGAGAAUAUGGGAUACGGAGGAAACUUACCUGACAAGUAUUUCCCCAUAAACUUCUCUUUACCUCGAGAAACUUGAAAAUUCUACCCUUACGCUUAUAGAAGGUAGCGAAAGGUGUAGAGAUCAAAUGUAAAAACGAGAAUUAGAAAAUUAACUCUUAAGGCUUAAUAUGGUUGAAAGGAAAUCAAAUUCUGCCGGUACGAAACUAAAGAAAUGAGGAAUAGACAACGCAACAUCAAGAUAAAAAACAAAGAAAGAAAUUAUUGGAUUCAAUAUUAAUUUUCUAGAACACACAUAUAGUAAACAUAUAAUACGAAAACAUAAAAGAUAAAUAAGAAGAAUAACGCAAAAUUUGAGAGAAUAGGAAAUAUGGAGAAAACUUAUCGAAGAACUAAUUCCCAAUAAACUUCUCUUGACAAGGGGAAACCUAAAAAUUCUACCAUUACGCUUAAAGUAAGGUAGAGAAAGGAGUAGAGAUCAAAUUUUAAAACCACAAUGUACUUGAAAGUAAAUAAAAUUUUUUUGAUAAGAAACUAAAGAAAUGAAAAAUAGAAAACACAACAUAGAGCUCUAAAAAAAACAAUGAAACCAAAGGAUUGAAAAUUCAUUAUCUACUAGAUACACGCAGUGAACAAAUAACACUCAAACAUAAAAGAGAAGAAUAAAGAACAAUGCAAAAUGGUGGAGAAUAGGAGAUACGAAGAAAACUUACUCGACAAGUAUUUCCAAACAAACUACUCUUUUCCUCGAGAAACCUUAAAAUUCUACUUUCACGCUUACCUGACAAGUAUGUGUGUACUAGAAAAUUAAUUUUGAAUUCGUUAAUUUCUUUAUUUGUUUUUUAUCUUGAUCUUGCGUUGUCUAUUCCUCAUUUCUUUAGUUUUGUACCUGCAUAAUUUGAUUUUCUUUCAACGAUAUUGUGCCUUAAGAGUUAAUUUUCUUGUUCUCAUUUUUACAUUUGAUCUCUACUCCNNNNNNNNNNNNNNNNNNNNNNNNNNNNNNNNNNNNNNNNNNNNNNNNNNNNNNNNNNNNNNNNNNNNNNNNNNNNNNNNNNNNNNNNNNNNNNNNNNNNAGUUCUUGGAUAAGUUUCCUCCGUAUUCCCUAUUCUCUCAAAUUUUGCACUGUCUACUGUAUGAGUGUACGAGAAAAUUACUUUUGAACCCGUUAAAAAAACAAAGAAAGGUUAACGAACUAAUUCCCAAUAAACUUCUCUUUACCACGAAAAACCUAAAAAUUCUACCAUUCUUUUUAAAGCAAGGUAGAGAAAGGAGUAGAUAUCAAAUGUUAAAACCACAAUGUCCUUGAAAGUAAAUCAAAUUAUUCUGAUACGAAACUAAAGAAAUGAGGAAUAAAAAACACAACAUCAAGCUUUAAAAAAAAAACAAAGAAAUCAAAGAAAUCAAAGGAUUGAAAAUUAAUUCUCUACUACACACAAGCGGUCAACAAAUAACACUCAAACAUAAAAGAGAAUAAUGAAGAACAAUGCAAAAUGGAGGAGAAUAGGGGAUACGGAGGAAACUUACCUGACAAGUAUUUCCCCAUAAACUUCUCUUUACCUUGAGAAACUUGAAAAUUCUACCCUUACGCUUAUAGAAGGUAGCGAAAGGUGUAGAGAUCAAAUGUAAAAACGAGAAUUAGAAAAUUAACUCUUAAGGCUUAAUAUGGUUGAAAGCAAAUCAAAUUUUGCCGAUACGAAACUAAAGAAAUGAGGAAUAGACAACGCAACAUCAAAAUAAAAAACAAAGAAAGAAAUUAUUGGAUUCAAUAUUAAUUUUCUAGAACACACAUAUAAUAAACAUAUAACACGAAAACAUAAAAGAGAAAUAAGAAGAACAACGCAAAAUUUGAGAGAAUAGGGAAUAUGGAGAAAACUUAUCUAAGAACUAAUUCCCAAUAAACUUCUCUUGACAAGGGGAAACUUAAAAAUUCUAUCCUUACGCUUAAAGCAAGGUAGAGAAAGGAAUAGAGAUCAAAUUUUAAAACCACAAUGUACUUGAAAGUAAAUAAAAUUUUUUUGAUAAGAAACUAAAGAAAUGAGAAAUAGAAAACACAACAUAGAGCUCCAAAAAAAACAAUGAAAUCAAAGGAUUGAAAAUUCAUUAUCUACUAGAUACACGCAGUGACCAAAUAACACUCAAAUAUAAAAGAGAAGAAUAAAGAACAAUGCAAAAUGGUGGAGAAUAGGAGAUACGAAGAAAACUUACUCGACAAAUAUUUCCAAACAAACUACUCUUUUCCUCGAGAAACCUUAAAAUUCUACUUUCACGCUUACCUGACAAGUAUGUGUGUACUAGAAAAUUAAUUUUGAAUUCGUUAAUUUCUUUAUUUGUUUUUUAUCUUGAUCUUGCGUUGUCUAUUCCUCAUUUCUUUAGUUUUGUACCUGCAUAAUUUGAUUUUCUUUCAACGAUAUUGUGCCUUAAGAGUUAAUUUUCUUGUUCUCAUUUUUACAUUUGAUCUCUACUCUUUUCGCUACAUUCUAUAAGCGUAAGGGUAGAAUUUUCAGGUUUCCCGAGUAAAAGAGAAGUUUGUUUGAAAAUACUUGUCAGGUAAGUUUUCUUCGUAUCCCCUAUUCUCCUCCAUUUCGCAUUGUUCUUCAUUCUUCUCUUUUAUAUUUGAGUGUUAUUUGUUCACUGCGUGUAUCUAGUAGAUAAUGAAUUUUCAAUCCUUUGAUUUCAUUGUUUUUUUUUAGAGCUCUAUGUUGUGUUUUCUAUUUCUCAUUUCUUUAGUUUGUUAUCAAAAAAUUUUUAUUUACUUUCAAGUACAUUGUGGUUUUAAAAUUUGAUCUCUACUCCUUUCUCUACCUUGCUUUAAGCGUAAGGGUAGAAUUUUUAGGUUUCCCCUUGUCAAAAGAAGUUUAUUGGGAAUUAGUUCUUCGAUAGGUUUUCUCCAUAUUCCCUAUUCUCUCAAAUUCUGCGUUGUUCUUCUUAUUUAUCUUUUAUGUUUUCGUGUUAUAUGUUUACUAUAUAUGUGUGUUCUAGAAAAUUAAUAUUGAAUCCAAUAAUUUCUUUCUUUGUUUUUUAUCUUGAUGUUGCGUUGUCUAUUCCUCAUUUCUUUAGUUUCGUACCGGCAGAAUUUGAUUUCCUUUCAACCAUAUUAAGCCUUAAGAGUUAAUUUUCUAAUUCUCGUUUUUACAUUUGAUCUCUACACCUUUCGCUACCUUCUAUAAGCGUAAGGGUAGAAUUUUCAAGUUUCUCGAGGUAAAGAGAAGUUUAUGGGGAAAUACUUGUCAGGUAAGUUUCCUCCGUAUCCCCUAUUCUCCUCCAUUUUGCAUUGUUCUUUAUUAUUCCCUUUUAUGUUUGAGUGUUAUUUGUUGACCGCUUGUGUGUAGUAGAGAAUUAAUUUUCAAUCCUUUGAUUUCUUUGUUUUUUUUUAAAAGCUUGAUGUGAUGUUUUUUAUUCCUCAUUUCUUUAGUUUCGUAUCAGAAUAAUUUGAUUUACUUUCAAGGACAUUGUGGUUUUAAAAUUUGAUAUCUAUUCCUUUCUCUACCUUGCUUUAAGAAGAAUGGUAGAAUUUUCAGGUUUUCCGUGCUAAAGAGAAGUUUAUUGGAAAUUAGUUCUUGAAUAAGUUUCCUCCGUAUUCCCUAUUCUCUCAAAUUUUGCACUGUCUACUGUAUGAGUGUACGAGAAAAUUACUUUUGAACCCGUUAAAAAAAAAAAGAAUGGUUAAAGAACUAAUUCCCAAUAAACUUCUCUUUACCACGGAAAACCUGAAAAUUCUACCAUUCUUCUUAAAGCAAGGUAGAGAAAGGAGUAGAUAUCAAAUGUUAAAACCACAAUGUCCUUGAAAGUAAAUCAAAUUAUUCUGAUACGAAACUAAAGAAAUGAGGAAUAAAAAACACAAC
Molecule: long non-coding RNA, 8835 nt
Filed under: Vitis vinifera (wine grape)
Lineage: Eukaryota; Viridiplantae; Streptophyta; Magnoliopsida; Vitales; Vitaceae
Description: long non-coding RNA (VVIN_LNC003540)
Source: RNAcentral